This is a non-coding RNA of Potamilus streckersoni, 72 nucleotides long. NCBI's taxonomy places the organism in Eukaryota, Metazoa, Mollusca, Bivalvia, Unionida, Unionidae. The record is from the annotation of a GenBank genome assembly.
GGCUCUGCUGGUCUAGUGGUUAGAGCAAAUGCAUCAAAUGCAUGAGGUCGCGGAUUCAAAUCCCGACAGUCA